Molecule: ribosomal RNA, 771 nt
Filed under: uncultured bacterium
Lineage: Bacteria
Description: bacterial SSU rRNA
Rfam family: Bacterial small subunit ribosomal RNA
Source: RNAcentral
AGAGUUUGAUCAUGGCUCAGGACGAACGCUGGCGGCGUGCUUAACACAUGCAAGUCGAACGGAAAGGCCCUUCGGGGUGCUCGAGUGGCGAACGGGUGAGUAACACGUGGGUGAUCUGCCCUGCACUUUGGGAUAAGCCUGGGAAACUGGGUCUAAUACCGAAUAGGACUGCGCUCUUCAUGGGGUGUGGUGGAAAGCUUUUGCGGUGUGGGAUGGGCCCGCGGCCUAUCAGCUUGUUGGUGGGGUAAUGGCCUACCAAGGCGACGACGGGUAGCCGGCCUGAGAGGGUGACCGGCCACACUGGGACUGAGAUACGGCCCAGACUCCUACGGGAGGCAGCAGUGGGGAAUAUUGCACAAUGGGCGCAAGCCUGAUGCAGCGACGCCGCGUGAGGGAUGACGGCCUUCGGGUUGUAAACCUCUUUCAGCACAGACGAAGCGCGAGUGACGGUAUGUGCAGAAGAAGGACCGGCCAACUACGUGCCAGCAGCCGCGGUAAUACGUAGGGUCCGAGCGUUGUCCGGAAUUACUGGGCGUAAAGAGCUCGUAGGUGGUUUGUCGCGUUGUUCGUGAAAACUCACAGCUUAACUGUGGGCGUGCGGGCGAUACGGGCAGACUGGAGUACUGCAGGGGAGACUGGAAUUCCUGGUGUAGCGGUGGAAUGCGCAGAUAUCAGGAGGAACACCGGUGGCGAAGGCGGGUCUCUGGGCAGUAACUGACGCUGAGGAGCGAAAGCGUGGGGAGCGAACAGGAUUAGAUACCCCGGUAGUCC